UGAAUGGCUUGACGAAGAAUCAACUGUCUCUUAAUAAUUUUUAAAAUUUAACUUUUGAGUCAAAAGGCUUAAAUUUUUCUUUAGGACGAGAAGACCCUAUAGAGCUUAACAUUUUAUUUUUAUAUAGUUUUUAGUUGAUCUUUCUAUAUUUAAUGAUAAUGUUUUGUUGGGGUGACAUGAAGAAUAAUUAAACUCUUCAUUAUAAAAUCAUUGAUUUAUGUUUAUCAUGAUCCAUAAUUUAUGAUCAUAAGAUUAAGUUACCUUAGGGAUAACAGCGUAAUUGUUUUCGAGAGCUCAUAUCGACAAAGCAGAUUGCGACC
Molecule: ribosomal RNA, 320 nt
Filed under: Calliptamus barbarus
Lineage: Eukaryota; Metazoa; Arthropoda; Insecta; Orthoptera; Acrididae
Description: partial 16S ribosomal RNA
Rfam family: Bacterial large subunit ribosomal RNA
Source: RNAcentral